AGUGAACGCUGGCGGUAGGCCUAACACAUGCAAGUCGAACGGCAGCACAGUAAGAGCUUGCUCUUACGGGUGGCGAGUGGCGGACGGGUGAGGAAUACAUCGGAAUCUACUUUUUCGUGGGGGAUAACGUAGGGAAACUUACGCUAAUACCGCAUACGACCUACGGGUGAAAGCAGGAGAUCUUCGGACCUUGCGCGUUUCAAUGAGCCGAUGUCGGAUUAGCUAGUUGGCGGGGUAAAGGCCCACCAAGGCGACGAUCCGUAGCUGGUCUGAGAGGAUGAUCAGCCACACUGGAACUGAGACACGGUCCAGACUCCUACGGGAGGCAGCAGUGGGGAAUAUUGGACAAUGGGCGCAAGCCUGAUGCAGCCAUACCGCGUGAGUGAAGAAGGCCUUCGGGUUGUAAAGCCCUUUUGUUGGGAAAGAAAAGCAGCAUGUUAAUACCCCGCUGUUCUGACGGUACCCAAAGAAUAAGCACCGGCUAACUUCGUG
Molecule: ribosomal RNA, 492 nt
Filed under: uncultured bacterium
Lineage: Bacteria
Description: partial 16S ribosomal RNA
Rfam family: Bacterial small subunit ribosomal RNA
Source: RNAcentral